Molecule: ribosomal RNA, 253 nt
Filed under: uncultured bacterium
Lineage: Bacteria
Description: partial 16S ribosomal RNA
Rfam family: Bacterial small subunit ribosomal RNA
Source: RNAcentral
UACGUAGGGUGCAAGCGUUGUCCGGAUUUAUUGGGUUUAAAGGGUGCGUAGGUGGCUUUUUAAGUCAUGGGUGAAAGCCCGCAGCUCAACUGUGGAAUUGCCUGUGAUACUGAGGAGCUUGAAUGCGGUUGAGGCGGCUGGAAUUGGUGGUGUAGCGGUGAAAUGCAUAGAUACCACCAGGAACACCGAUUGCGAAGGCAGGUUGCUAAGCCGUAACUGACACUGAGGCACGAAAGCGUGGGGAGCAGACAGG